Small nuclear RNA from Cavia porcellus (domestic guinea pig), 107 nucleotides. Lineage: Eukaryota; Metazoa; Chordata; Mammalia; Rodentia; Caviidae. The record is from Ensembl.
GUGCUCACUUUGGCAGCACAAAUACUACAUUUAGAAUGAUACAGAGAAGAUUAGCGUGGUCCCUGUGCAAGGAAGAUAUGCAAAUUUGUGAAGCGCUCCAUAUUUUU